UCGCCAGCAGCCGUCCGGAGCCAGCCAACGAGCGGAAAAUGGCAGACAAUUUUUCGCAGCAGAUUUGGGAAGAAAGCCAGGCAGAGCGAGGCCUGGGACUCACUCACAGUAACCCUUUCACCAAAAGGCCCAGGGCGGAAGGGAGUGGACUCUGCCGGCAGGAGCUGAGAAAUCCUCUGAGUAGCGGGAAGUGCGCUCCAUGAUGCGUUAUCUGGGUCUGGAAACCCAAACCCUCAAGGAUGGCCUGGCGCAUGGGGGAACCAGCCUGCUGGGGCAGGGGGCUACCCAGGGGCUUCCUAUCCUGGGGCCUACCCCGGGCAGGCACCCCCAGGGGCUUAUCCUGGACAGGCACCUCCAGGCGCCUACCCUGGAGCACCUGGAGCUUAUCCCGGAGCACCUGCACCUGGAGUCUACCCAGGGCCACCCAGCGGCCCUGGGGCCUACCCAUCUUCUGGACAGCCAAGUGCCACCGGAGCCUACCCUGCCACUGGCCCCUAUGGCGCCCCUGCUGGGCCACUGAUUGUGCCUUAUAACCUGCCUUUGCCUGGGGGAGUGGUGCCUCGCAUGCUGAUAACAAUUCUGGGCACGGUGAAGCCCAAUGCAAACAGAAUUGCUUUAGAUUUCCAAAGAGGGAAUGAUGUUGCCUUCCACUUUAACCCACGCUUCAAUGAGAACAACAGGAGAGUCAUUGUUUGCAAUACAAAGCUGGAUAAUAACUGGGGAAGGGAAGAAAGACAGUCGGUUUUCCCAUUUGAAAGUGGGAAACCAUUCAAAAUACAAGUACUGGUUGAACCUGACCACUUCAAGGUUGCAGUGAAUGAUGCUCACUUGUUGCAGUACAAUCAUCGGGUUAAAAAACUCAAUGAAAUCAGCAAACUGGGAAUUUCUGGUGACAUAGACCUCACCAGUGCUUCAUAUACCAUGAUAUAAUCUGAAAGGGGC
This 942-nucleotide long non-coding RNA is filed under the name Homo sapiens (human). RNAcentral's name for it is "long non-coding RNA NONHSAT168464.1". Lineage: Eukaryota; Metazoa; Chordata; Mammalia; Primates; Hominidae. The record is from RNAcentral.